Molecule: long non-coding RNA, 534 nt
Filed under: Physcomitrium patens
Lineage: Eukaryota; Viridiplantae; Streptophyta; Bryopsida; Funariales; Funariaceae
Description: long non-coding RNA (PPAT_LNC003887)
Source: RNAcentral
UAGGAUUUGGUUAGGAUUUGGUUUAGGAUUUAGGAUUUGAUUUAGAAUUUAGGGUUUGAUUUAGGAUUUAAGAUUUGGUUUAUGAUUUAGGAUUUGAUUAGGAUUUGAUUUAGGAUUUAGGAUUUGGUUAGGAUUUGAUUUAGGAUUAGGAUUUGAUUCAGGAUUAGGGUUUGAUUAAGAGUUGAUUUAGAGUUUAGGAUUUGAUUAGAAUUUGAUUUAGGAUUUUAUUAGGAUUUAUUUAGGAUUUAAGAUUUAGUUAAUUUUUGACCUAAAGUUUAAAUGAAGUCCAAUUAAUAGGAUUUUAACUAGAAUUAAAUUAAGAUUGAAUUAAAAUUAUUAUGGUUUAAUUAAAGUUUAAUUAGUAUUCUAUUAGAUUUAGGAUUUUGCUGUUACAAUUUCUAUUCUACCUUCUAUAGCGAGAUGCCCAAAGCAUUCUCAACCAAGACUUCAUAUAUUAGAACAACAGUCACAUUUAAAAAAAAUGAUUAAAAAAGAGUGGCAAAGAUUAAGUUCUUAAAUUUAUGGCAAGCAUCA